RNAcentral lists this ribosomal RNA (111 nucleotides) under Caerostris darwini. Lineage: Eukaryota; Metazoa; Arthropoda; Arachnida; Araneae; Araneidae. The record is from RNAcentral.
ACGGCCGUACCAUGCUGAAUAUACCGGUUCUCGUUAGAUCACCGAAGUCAAGCAUCAUUGGGCGCGGUCAGUACCCAGGUGGGUGACCACCUGGGAACACCGCGUGCCGUU